This 248-nucleotide ribosomal RNA is filed under the name uncultured bacterium. RNAcentral's name for it is "partial 16S ribosomal RNA". It matches the Rfam family "Bacterial small subunit ribosomal RNA", at positions 524 to 776 of the family's 1533-position model. The record is from RNAcentral.
UACAGAGGGUGCGAGCGUUAAUCGGAAUUACUGGGCGUAAGCGCGCGUAGGCGGCUUGCAAGUCGGGUGUGAAUCCCCAGGCUUAACCUGGGAACUGCAUUCGAGAGCUGCAUUGCUAGAGUAUGGGAGAGGGAAGUGGAAUUCCGGUGUGAGCGGUGAAUGCGUAGAUAUCAGGAGGAACACCAAUGGCGAAGGCAGCUCGCUGGGACGGUACUGACGCUGAGGCGCGAAGCGUGGGAGCAAACAGG